This 122-nucleotide small RNA is filed under the name Klebsiella pneumoniae. RNAcentral's name for it is "RtT sRNA". It matches the Rfam family "RtT RNA". From Rfam's summary of the family: This family represents a bacterial cis-regulatory element known as RtT RNA. The record is from RNAcentral. Lineage: Bacteria; Pseudomonadati; Pseudomonadota; Gammaproteobacteria; Enterobacterales; Enterobacteriaceae.
UGUUUGCACUUAGCGGGAAGGGUAAGAACCUUCGACUCGAGCGCCAGCGAGAGAACGUUGCCGCAGGCAACGGCCCGAAGGGCGAGGAGCGAUAGCGACGAGUUAUCCUUCCCCCACCACCA